AUGGCAGUAGCUCAGCUGGCAGAGCGGCGGUCUCCAAAACCGUAGGUCGGGGGUUCGAUGCCCUCCUGCCAUGCAA
This 76-nucleotide transfer RNA is filed under the name Burkholderia sp. Bp9125. Its description in RNAcentral is "tRNA-Trp". It matches the Rfam family "tRNA". From Rfam's summary of the family: Transfer RNA (tRNA) molecules are approximately 80 nucleotides in length. Their secondary structure includes four short double-helical elements and three loops (D, anti-codon, and T loops). Lineage: Bacteria; Pseudomonadati; Pseudomonadota; Betaproteobacteria; Burkholderiales; Burkholderiaceae. The record is from RNAcentral.